AGGAUGAACGCUGGCGGCGUGCUUAACACAUGCAAGUCAUGGGGGCCCAGCAGUGGGCAACCGGCGAACGGGUGCGUAACACGUGAGCAACCUACCCAGGUGUGGGGGAUAGCCGUCCCAACGGGACGGGUAAUACCGCAUACGCUCAACACGAGGCAUUUCGAGUUGAGGAAACCUUCGGGGCACCAUGAGGGGCUCGCGGCCUAUCAGCUAGUUGGCGAGGUAACGGCUCACCAAAGGCUACGACGGGUAGCUGUCUGAGAGGAUGACCAGCACAUUGGACUGAGAAACGGCCAGACUCCGACGGGAGCAGCAGGUGGGGAAUCUGCGCAAGUGGCCUAAGGCUGACGCAGCGACGCCGCGUGAGGGAUGGACGUCGUCGUUCGGAAGUCGUUAAACC
RNAcentral lists this ribosomal RNA (400 nucleotides) under uncultured soil bacterium. RNAcentral describes it as "bacterial SSU rRNA". It matches the Rfam family "Bacterial small subunit ribosomal RNA", at positions 26 to 431 of the family's 1533-position model. The record is from RNAcentral.